AACGCACAUUGCGCCCCUCGGUAUUCCGGGGGGCAUGCCUGUUCGAGCGUCAUUACACCCCUCAAGCGUAGCUUGGUAUUGGGCUUCGCCCCCGCGGCGUGCCCGAAAAACAGUGGCGGUCCGGCGUGACUUUAAGCGUAGUAAAUUUUCAUCCCGCUUUGAAAGCUCAAUCCGUGGCCUGCCAGACAACCCCGAAAUUUCAAUCAUUGACCUCGGAUCAGGUAGGGAUACCCGCUGAACUUAA
This 244-nucleotide unclassified non-coding RNA is filed under the name Holwaya sp. Its description in RNAcentral is "partial contains 5.8S ribosomal RNA, internal transcribed spacer 2, and large subunit ribosomal RNA". The stretch from base 1 to 52 matches the Rfam family "5.8S ribosomal RNA", at positions 103 to 154 of the family's 154-position model. Lineage: Eukaryota; Fungi; Ascomycota; Leotiomycetes; Thelebolales; Holwayaceae. The record is from RNAcentral.